GGAAAAUAUUCGAGUAGCUGAACAGAAGUUAAAGGAAGCACAUCGACAAACUCAACAUGAGCAGGGAUCAACAAGUCGAAGUCAAGAAUCCCAAAACCAUUCUGGUGGUGGAAGGUCAAGGAGUGACAGCCCUCCAUCUCCUCCCUUCCAUUCUAUGCCAUUUAACGUCACUCUACCUUCCGAACUUUCAAACAUGUUUAUGAACAUGGCUGCCAAUGCUACAAACCCAUUCCAUGGGCAACAUUCCGAAGACAGUGGAGAAGAGAAUAGAAGCAGCAAUGGUUCAGGAAAUCCCGGAACGAAUAUGGAUGCAAAUUUCAGUUU
RNAcentral lists this unclassified non-coding RNA (324 nucleotides) under Hevea brasiliensis (rubber tree). Lineage: Eukaryota; Viridiplantae; Streptophyta; Magnoliopsida; Malpighiales; Euphorbiaceae. The record is from RNAcentral.